CCCAGCCAACGACGCCAUGCCAAAACAGUUCACACCCAUAGAGGAGCAACAACACCUGCCUUUGUAACAGCAGUCAGGAGAUCGCGAUCCGUCCUUGACGGAAUUUCGGAUUUCUGAUGUUGACCAUGGCCAAGUGUCUCUGCCUUCUUGACCCAGUGAGUGGAGUGCUGUGACACCAGGAACGUGCCCAUUAGUCAUAAGGCAGCCCUCCAUUCCAUAGGUUUCCCUGUAACAAGACACCCCCCCCCCCCCCUUCCUUCAAGUUACAGCUGUGCAAGAAUAGUUAGUGUUAAGCUAUGUAAGUCAGUGGAUUGUGUGCUUGAAAGCUAAAUGUAUAGAUAUAUACAUCCACUGUGGGUGCAGGAGAUAUGCUGAUUUUAAAUCAAAUAAAAAGUUGAUGGUAAUUGAA
This is a non-coding RNA of Maylandia zebra (zebra mbuna), 409 nucleotides long. NCBI's taxonomy places the organism in Eukaryota, Metazoa, Chordata, Actinopteri, Cichliformes, Cichlidae. The record is from RefSeq and is a predicted model, not a curated record.